CGGCGCGUAUCCAAGUCUGGUUAAGGAGCCGGUCUGAUAAACCGGUGCGGAAACGUACGUAGGUUCAAAUCCUACCGCGUCGAC
Molecule: transfer RNA, 84 nt
Filed under: Streptomyces phage BRock
Lineage: Duplodnaviria; Heunggongvirae; Uroviricota; Caudoviricetes
Description: tRNA-Ile
Rfam family: tRNA
About the family: Transfer RNA (tRNA) molecules are approximately 80 nucleotides in length. Their secondary structure includes four short double-helical elements and three loops (D, anti-codon, and T loops).
Source: RNAcentral